RNAcentral lists this ribosomal RNA (848 nucleotides) under Chaetomium sacchari. RNAcentral's name for it is "partial large subunit ribosomal RNA". It matches the Rfam family "Eukaryotic large subunit ribosomal RNA", at positions 64 to 945 of the family's 3401-position model. Lineage: Eukaryota; Fungi; Ascomycota; Sordariomycetes; Sordariales; Chaetomiaceae. The record is from RNAcentral.
ACCAACAGGGAUUGCCCUAGUAACGGCGAGUGAAGCGGCAACAGCUCAAAUUUGAAAUCUGGCUUCGGCCCGAGUUGUAAUUUGCAGAGGAAGCUUUAGGCGCGGCACUUUCUGAGUCCCCUGGAACGGGGCGCCAUAGAGGGUGAGAGCCCCGUAUAGUUAGAUGCCUAGCCUGUGUAAAGCUCCUUCGACGAGUCGAGUAGUUUGGGAAUGCUGCUCAAAAUGGGAGGUAAAUUUCUUCUAAAGCUAAAUACCGGCCAGAGACCGAUAGCGCACAAGUAGAGUGAUCGAAAGAUGAAAAGCACUUUGAAAAGAGGGUUAAAUAGCACGUGAAAUUGUUGAAAGGGAAGCGCUUGUGACCAGACUUGCGCCGGGCAGAUCAUCCGGUGUUCUCACCGGUGCACUCUGCCCGGCUCAGGCCAGCAUCGGUUCUCGCGGGGGGAUAAAGGCCCUGGGAACGUAGCUCCUCCGGGAGUGUUAUAGCCCGGGGCGUAAUGCCCUCGCGGGGACCGAGGUUCGCGCAUCUGCAAGGAUGCUGGCGUAAUGGUCAUCAGCGACCCGUCUUGAAACACGGACCAAGGAGUCAAGGUUUUGCGCGAGUGUUUGGGUGUAAAACCCGCACGCGUAAUGAAAGUGAACGUAGGUGAGAGCUUCGGCGCAUCAUCGACCGAUCCUGAUGUUUUCGGAUGGAUUUGAGUAGGAGCGUUAAGCCUUGGACCCGAAAGAUGGUGAACUAUGCUUGGAUAGGGUGAAGCCAGAGGAAACUCUGGUGGAGGCUCGCAGCGGUUCUGACGUGCAAAUCGAUCGUCAAAUCUGAGCAUGGGGGCGAAAGACUAAUCGAACCAUCU